CGUAGGGUGCAAGCGUUGUCCGGAUUUAUUGGGCGUAAAGAGUUCGUAGGCGGUUGCCUAAGUCUGAUGUUAAAUCCCGGAGCUCAACUUCGGUAUGGCAUUGGAAACUGGGUGGCUUGAGUAUGGUAGAGGUUACGGGAAUUCCUGGUGUAGCGGUGAAAUGCGUAGAUAUCAGGAGGAACACCGGUGGCGAAAGCGCGUAACUGGGCCAUAACUGACGCUGAGGAACGAAAGCCAGGGUAGCAAAAAGGAUUAGAUACCCUUGUAGUCCUGGCCGUAAACGAUGGAUACUAGGUGUUGGUGGAUUCGACCCCAUCAGUGCCGUAGCUAACGCGAUAAGUAUCCCGCCUGGGGAGUACGACCGCAAGGUUG
Molecule: ribosomal RNA, 372 nt
Filed under: uncultured organism
Description: bacterial SSU rRNA
Rfam family: Bacterial small subunit ribosomal RNA
Source: RNAcentral